GCGAACUGAUUAGAAGCUUGCUUCUAUGACGUUAGCGGCGGACGGGUGAGUAACACGUGGGCAACCUGCCUGUAAGACUGGGAUAACUUCGGGAAACCGAAGCUAAUACCGGAUAGGAUCUUCUCCUUCAUGGGAGAUGAUUGAAAGAUGGUUUCGGCUAUCACUUACAGAUGGGCCCGCGGUGCAUUAGCUAGUUGGUGAGGUAACGGCUCACCAAGGCAACGAUGCAUAGCCGACCUGAGAGGGUGAUCGGCCACACUGGGACUGAGACACGGCCCAGACUCCUACGGGAGGCAGCAGUAGGGAAUCUUCCGCAAUGGACGAAAGUCUGACGGAGCAACGCCGCGUGAGUGAUGAAGGCUUUCGGGUCGUAAAACUCUGUUGUUAGGGAAGAACAAGUACGAGAGUAACUGCUCGUACCUUGACGGUACCUAACCAGAAAGCCACGGCUAACUACGUGCCAGCAGCCGCGGUAAUACGUAGGUGGCAAGCGUUAUCCGGAAUUAUUGGGCGUAAAGCGCGCGCAGGCGGUUUCUUAAGUCUGAUGUGAAAGCCCACGGCUCAACCGUGGAGGGUCAUUGGAAACUGGGGAACUUGAGUGCAGAAGAGAAAAGCGGAAUUCCACGUGUAGCGGUGAAAUGCGUAGAGAUGUGGAGGAACACCAGU
This 666-nucleotide ribosomal RNA is filed under the name Priestia aryabhattai. RNAcentral's name for it is "bacterial SSU rRNA". It matches the Rfam family "Bacterial small subunit ribosomal RNA", at positions 66 to 713 of the family's 1533-position model. The record is from RNAcentral. Lineage: Bacteria; Bacillati; Bacillota; Bacilli; Caryophanales; Bacillaceae.